This 404-nucleotide ribosomal RNA is filed under the name Actinomycetes bacterium. Its description in RNAcentral is "Actinobacteria bacterium partial 16S ribosomal RNA". It matches the Rfam family "Bacterial small subunit ribosomal RNA", at positions 355 to 776 of the family's 1533-position model. The record is from RNAcentral. Lineage: Bacteria; Bacillati; Actinomycetota; Actinomycetes.
UGGGGAAUAUUGGACAAUGGGCGCAAGCCUGAUCCAGCCAUGCCGCGUGAGUGAUGAAGGCCCUAGGGUUGUAAAGCUCUUUCACCGGUGAAGAUAAUGACGGUAACCGGAGAAGAAGCCCCGGCUAACUUCGUGCCAGCAGCCGCGGUAAUACGAAGGGGGCUAGCGUUGUUCGGAUUUACUGGGCGUAAAGCGCACGUAGGCGGACUAUUAAGUCAGGGGUGAAAUCCCGGGGCUCAACCCCGGAACUGCCUUUGAUACUGGUAGUCUUGAGUUCGAGAGAGGUGAGUGGAAUUCCGAGUGUAGAGGUGAAAUUCGUAGAUAUUCGGGGGAACACCAGUGGCGAACGCGGCUCACUGGCUCGAUACUGACGCUGAGGUGCGAAAGCGUGGGGAGCAAACAGG